GACGAACGCUGGCGGCGUGCUUAACACAUGCAAGUCGAACGGAAAGGCCCUGCUUUUGUGGGGUGCUCGAGUGGCGAACGGGUGAGUAACACGUGAGUAACCUGCCCUUGACUUUGGGAUAACUUCAGGAAACUGGGGCUAAUACCGGAUAGGAGCUCCUGCUGCAUGGUGGGGGUUGGAAAGUUUCGGCGGUUGGGGAUGGACUCGCGGCUUAUCAGCUUGUUGGUGGGGUAGUGGCUUACCAAGGCUUUGACGGGUAGGCCGCCUGAGAGGGUGACCGGCCACAUUGGGACUGAGGUACGGCCCAGACUCCUACGGGAGGCAGCAGUCGGGAAUAUUGCGCAAUGGGCGGGAGCCUGAUGCAACAACGCCGGGUGCGGGAUGACGGCCUUCGAGUUGUAAACCGCUUUCGACUGUGACGAAGCGUGAGUGACGGUAAUGGGUAAAGAAGCACCGGCUAACUACGUG
RNAcentral lists this ribosomal RNA (468 nucleotides) under uncultured bacterium. RNAcentral describes it as "partial 16S ribosomal RNA". It matches the Rfam family "Bacterial small subunit ribosomal RNA", at positions 28 to 507 of the family's 1533-position model. The record is from RNAcentral.